GAUGAACGCUGGCGGCGUGCCUAAUACAUGCCAGUCGAGCGAACAGACGAGGAACUUGCUCCUCUGACGUUAGCGGCGGACGGGUGAGUAACACGUGGAUAACCUACCUAUAAGACUGGGAUAACUUCGGGAAACCGGAGCUAAUACCGGAUAAUAUAUUGAACCGCAUGGUUCAAUAGUGAAAGACGGUUUUGCUGUCACUUAUAGAUGGAUCCGCGCCGCAUUAGCUAGUUGGUAAGGUAACGGCUUACCAAGGCAACGAUGCGUAGCCGACCUGAGAGGGGGAUCGGCCACACUGGAACUGAGACACGGUCCAGACUCCUACGGGAGGCAGCAGUAGGGAAUCUUCCGCAAUGGGCGAAAGCCUGACGGAGCAACGCCGCGUGAGUGAUGAAGGUCUUCGGAUCGUAAAACUCUGUUAUUAGGGAUGAACAAAUGUGUAAGUAACUAUGCACGUCUUGACGGUACCUAAUCAGAAAGCCACGGCUAACUACGUG
RNAcentral lists this ribosomal RNA (497 nucleotides) under uncultured bacterium. Its description in RNAcentral is "partial 16S ribosomal RNA". It matches the Rfam family "Bacterial small subunit ribosomal RNA", at positions 28 to 507 of the family's 1533-position model. The record is from RNAcentral.